UCAAUACGCCAGUUAUUUGACUUGGAUGCAAACACCAUGAGUCGUCGUCCCUUGAUUAUAUCAGCACGAGUACAACCUUUUGAUGUUGAUACUACUUCAAGAUACGAUGUUGCUUCUUUGAGUCAAUAUCUGAACUUUGCCAAUCUUGCAUCAUUCAACUUUAACAGAGACAAUACAUAUACUAUUGUUCAUGGAAGUGCACUCGAUGCUGAUAAUUCACAUUCAUUCACAAAGAUUUUGAAUGUGAAAACAUCCAUAAACGUGUGGCUUAAUGCUGGUUUACCUAUAAACAAACUGGUAAUUGGAAUACCUGCUUAUGGUAAUACAUACGAUACUUUACCGGGGACACACAUGGUAGGAGCUACUGCAUUUGGACUAGGAAAGGAGGGGCAGUGGAGCCUUCAGGAAGGAAAACUGGGCUAUUA
Mytilus californianus (California mussel) is the source of this 425-nucleotide long non-coding RNA. RefSeq lists it as uncharacterized. The record is from RefSeq and is a predicted model, not a curated record. NCBI's taxonomy places the organism in Eukaryota, Metazoa, Mollusca, Bivalvia, Mytilida, Mytilidae. The transcript has 3 exons.